This is a long non-coding RNA of Manduca sexta (tobacco hornworm), 984 nucleotides long. RefSeq lists it as uncharacterized. NCBI's taxonomy places the organism in Eukaryota, Metazoa, Arthropoda, Insecta, Lepidoptera, Sphingidae. The record is from RefSeq and is a predicted model, not a curated record. The transcript is spliced from 2 exons.
CAGCAGACGUGGAAUAGGAGUCAAAGAACAUUCGCUAACAGCGGAGAGAGUUCAGUAGAUGAGAACUGCAAUCCUAAUAGAUUAAGUUUAUCAAUGAGGGUCAGUAAUCCACCGCCAGCAUAUAAUGCGACACGAGAAGAUGUGCUCAGAAGACAAAUAGAUCGUCCACAUCCAGACUCGCCGGAUGCCAAAAAGCCAGCAUUAUAACUGUACCAAUACCUAUCGUGUAUUAUUAUUUUAAAUAGAUCAAUAUUUUGUUACCCCUGUAUGAAUAAAUUUUAUUAAUUUUAGGUUUAUAAGAAGCUCUGGAACUCCCCUGUGAUCUUUGUGUAUGUAAGAUUUUUUGUAAAGUGCUAGAUAAAUUGUAAAUAAACAUUCCAUUGCUGUAGAGUUGUACAAAUAAAGUUAGUGUAAGUGAAACAUAUUGCUUUAUGUCAUAUGAUUUGUGUAUAUGAAGUAUGUCGAUGUAAAUAUCGUAUAUCGGUGAAGUUAAUUUCCUAGUAUUUUAUUUACUUCGUAAUAAUACGUUAGAAUACGAAAUAGUUCCAAAAAGUCGCCUUUUACCUGUGCAUCUUUUUAAAAUUUUUGAUUAUAACCGAUGUUUUGAGCAUUAAAAAAAAAUAUCUAUCUACUUCUAUAUUUCCAGCCUAUAAGGUGAUGCAUGAUAGUUUUAUUUAGUUAUUUCUUUUCUUACUUUUCCUCUUGUAGUUUAUAAAAGUACAUUUGCAAAUGUGUAUUAUUUAUAAAAUAUUGCGCGUAAUAAAUACCAUCCCUAAGCAUUUAAGUAAUUUUUUGUACUGUCGAUAAAUUUACGAAUCCGUCCAAAUUCGAGUCUUGGAUAAGAAAACUUGUACAAAAUAAUUUUAGAUGUAACUAUGUAAAAAUUAAAACAGGAUGUCUAUCGUAGUUGGAUUAUGUAGUAUUAAUUUAUGAACAUUAUAUUGUUGAUCGAGUUUUGAAAAGUAAAGAUAUUACAACCAAAAA